RNA transcript from Asparagus officinalis (garden asparagus), 941 nucleotides. It is a transcript of the gene named beta-glucosidase 12-like, with no coding region annotated. The record is from RefSeq and is a predicted model, not a curated record. Lineage: Eukaryota; Viridiplantae; Streptophyta; Magnoliopsida; Asparagales; Asparagaceae. The transcript is spliced from 4 exons.
UCGGUUCCCUCAAACAUGAAUUUAGAAUUGGGAAACCUUUUAAUCCAUUUGAUCAACUCAUGUCUGUGCUUCCAUCAAAGAGUUCUAAUGCACUGCCAGAAGCUUAUCGGAAUCUUAUGACCAGUAAGGAUUCACCGAUCAUUAAGUUCUACCCACAAGAUUUUGUAGUGGACACCAGUGGAAAGAGGUUUUCUUGGCAGGUUUAUAAACAUAAACUUCUAUCAAUUUUUAACCAUUUCGUAGCAAUUGGAGAUUAAGACAUAAGUAUUCUUAUUGGUAAAAUUUAUAUUUGUUCUUUCCCUCUUAUUUAUAUCAAGUAUUUAUGAUCACAAUUUUUUAGCAUCCAAUAUUACAACAAUGUCAUUAACGAGCUUGUGUCCAAAGGUGACAGUCCCUUCUCUGUCAUCAAAUCCCUGAUUAUCCAUCAAUCUGAUGCUAAAAAAUUUCCUAUCCACAUAUCCAUGCAUAGAGCCUUACAUGACAAUCUUCCACUGGGAUUUUCCUCAAAGCCUAGAAGACCAGUAUGGUGGCUUUCUUAGCCCUCUCGUUGUCGAUGACUUUAGAGAUUAUGUUGAUCUUUGCUUAAAGUCAUUUGGAGACCGAGUGAAGAAUUGGAUCACAUUGAACGAGCCAUGGACAAAUUGUCAUCAAGGUUAUGCUGCAGGGAUAUUUGCACUUGGUCGUUGCUCUCCGUGGGAGGCUGGAAAUUGCAGUGCUGGUGACUCCGGUUGAGAGCCUUAAUAUUGUUGCUCAUCACCAGAUUCUAGUCCAUGCUUCUGCUGUUAAGCUAUAUAGAGAUACUUUUUGUUUUAAUGAAAGAGGAAUUUUUGUCAUGUACUUUGGACAAAAGAAAAAACUUGUACUAAAGUCAUUGUAAUGAACCAAUGAAUUGUUCCUUAUGUUUGGUUGUUAAUUUGCUUGCAAAAUUUGGAGUUUCAUUU